This is a transfer RNA of Clostridium acetobutylicum ATCC 824, 73 nucleotides long. It matches the Rfam family "tRNA". From Rfam's summary of the family: Transfer RNA (tRNA) molecules are approximately 80 nucleotides in length. Their secondary structure includes four short double-helical elements and three loops (D, anti-codon, and T loops). Lineage: Bacteria; Bacillati; Bacillota; Clostridia; Eubacteriales; Clostridiaceae. The record is from Rfam.
GGGGGAUUAGCUCAGCUGGGAGAGCACCUGCCUUGCACGCAGGGGGUCAAGAGUUCGAAUCUCUUAUUCUCCA